CAGUAGCCGCGGUAAUACGAAGGGGGCUAGCGUUGUUCGGAUUUACUGGGCGUAAAGCGUGCGUAGGCGGCUUUUUAAGUCGGAUGUGAAAUCCCUGAGCUUAACUUAGGAAUUGCAUUCGAUACUGGGAAGCUAGAGUAUGGGAGAGGAUGGUAGAAUUCCAGGUGUAGCGGUGAAAUGCGUAGAGAUCUGGAGGAAUACCGAUGGCGAAGGCAGCCAUCUGGCCUAAUACUGACGCUGAGGUACGAAAGCAUGGGGAGCAAACAGGAUUAGAUACCCCAGUAGUCCCUGUCUCUUAUAC
RNAcentral lists this ribosomal RNA (301 nucleotides) under uncultured bacterium. RNAcentral describes it as "partial 16S ribosomal RNA". It matches the Rfam family "Bacterial small subunit ribosomal RNA", at positions 509 to 807 of the family's 1533-position model. The record is from RNAcentral.